Long non-coding RNA from Pezoporus occidentalis (night parrot), 2046 nucleotides. RefSeq lists it as uncharacterized. Lineage: Eukaryota; Metazoa; Chordata; Aves; Psittaciformes; Psittacidae. The transcript is spliced from 3 exons. The record is from RefSeq and is a predicted model, not a curated record.
CUCAAGUGUCCCUUGCCAUCAAAUCUUGUUAAACCACUGUUGCAUUUAUUAUCAAUCUUUGUUAAAUUGCUGUUUUAUAUCAAUAAACAUAUUGCUACUUCUUUCUUACGAGUGAAGUGUGUCAUUGCAUCCCCAACAACAGUCCUGCACUUCGCAGAGUGGAUCAGCCUGUAGUGAAAUAAUACAGCAUUAGGUGAAGCAAUAUUUAUAGGUCUGUCCCAUGCAGCCACCCAAGGAAACAGACAUAACAGAAUUGUAUUUAUUACCAGAUUAGUCUCUUUUCUUCAUAAUAAUGGAAAUAGCCUGGAAGUGGGAUAGAAGACAGAAGCCUCAUUGACUUGAUCUCCUAUGAGAGCCAUGCAGCAGAUUUGCAUUGCUCCUCAGCAUUCCACAAAGACACUUUAAUUCAUGAGUUUGAAUGGUUUCACAAUGCAAAUGUUGAGCUCCAAAAUGAGCAAAGUGAAACAAGUAGUAAGGACCUGCAGCAUCAGCAAUCAAAAACAUAACUGACACUGGAACUGUGUCAGUACAUUAAGAAACACAGAGAGAGUUGAGCGUCAGCUCUGCUAAGAACCACAUGACAGCAUACCAUGUUUAGCUUUCAUUACCAGCUGCACUGGCAAUUUAUUAUUUCUUGAUAAACAUUGUUUUCAUAACUCAGGCACUGCUCCUCAGACAACACUCAAUUUUGUUGCCUUUCUAUAAUAAGGAGAUUUUAAAACAUCAGAAACCAGUCUAAAAGCAGUCAGAAUAGAUCAGCAGAAAGAAGCUGAUGAGCUCAGCUUGGGUUUCUUCUUUGCACUGGCUGCAGCAAUGAUGCUCAGAGCACCACACAAUUUCUUAGAGCUUUUGUGCAGGUGAGAAAAGGUACCAGAAGCAGCACAAGGUAACUAUUACAGCUAAUGCACUGCUAAUGAAGAAGAAGGCCUCUAGAGUGAGAUACAGAAAUUGAUCCAAGCCAAACAUUUUGAAUCCAAAUUGCUCCAAAUGUGAUAUGGGUUUUGUUCAGACUCAGUGGUUUGGGAAGUGUUUGCCCCUAGAUGGCUAAUAUUAGGAAACUAAAUAAUCAAGAAGAAACUGGUCUGUGAUGAAUUUUGUGCAGCUGCCCACAGGUAGACACUGCUCAUACAUGUGAAACAAACAGACUGAACAGGGAAACAAGAUCUUGGACAUACAUAAAGCAUUGUUUCCUUUCAUGAGGCUCUUCUUUUUCCAAAGGUGUAUGAGUAGAUGCAUAAUAAUGAUCCUCCACUCCAUCACAGUAGAGCUUCAGUGGAUUUCAGAGGAUUUGAAAUUUGGGAUGAUAUGAAUAAUUGUGGUGGUCAGCAAAAUUCCAGUAGGACACAACAGGUGUAGUAGAGAUGAGAACACAUAUGACAUAUACUAAAGCACAUUCUGGUCUGUACAGUUAUCAAAACUGCACAGCUAAAGCUGGAACAGUCUUAAAUGCACAAAACUAUUGUGUGCAUUUAUGCUUUUAUUAUUUGUUCAGCUUAGAACAUAGCACAAGGCACAAGAACUACCAGGCAUCAGAUAUACCUCAUAUCCUACCCUGGCAACCCUUGUCACUAUUUCCUCCAGCUGAACAUUGGUCUCAAGCAUACAGUUGACCUGCAGAACUGCUGUCCUCAUCUACCAAGAGUAGUUAUACCUUAGCAUGAAAUUGUGCUUUCCCUCUGUAGAGCCACAUGGGUUAGGGAAGCCAUGCUGGUAGCGUGUCCCAGGAGUCUUAUUCCCAAGGACUGGAGAGAAGACCAAGAAGGUGGAACAGGUGUUGGGUAUCUUCACAAAUAAUGCUGAUUCCCCAACACUGACAGAGCUUUCCAUUGCUAUAUCAAAGUGGGGAUGUGAGAACUUUUGCCUCCUUCACUGUUCUCAUCACUUCAGUGUUAAACAGGUCAGGAAAUUUUCAUGGGGUUAAGCAGAAGGGCCAGCGUUGCAGUCAGUCCAGGACUGGAGAUUUUACACAUCUUAGGUCAGGCUCCUCCUUUGGCAAUAUAUGUUAACAUGAGACAGGAAACAUUCCCAGACACACCUUGGAAUCUG